RNAcentral lists this ribosomal RNA (253 nucleotides) under uncultured bacterium. RNAcentral's name for it is "partial 16S ribosomal RNA". It matches the Rfam family "Bacterial small subunit ribosomal RNA", at positions 524 to 776 of the family's 1533-position model. The record is from RNAcentral.
UACGUAGGUGGCAAGCGUUGUCCGGCUUUACUGGGCGUAAAGGGCGCGUAGGUGGCUAUUUAAGUGGGAUGUGAAAUACUCGGGCUUAACCUGGGUGCUGCAUUCCAAACUGAAUAUCUAGAGUGCAGGAGAGGAAAGUAGAAUUCCUAGUGUAGCGGUGAAAUGCGUAGAGAUUAGGAAGAAUACCAGUGGCGAAGGCGACUUUCUGGACUGUAACUGACACUGAGGCUCGAAAGCGUGGGGAGCAAACAGG